ACUGCUAUUGGGGUUCGACUAAGCCGUGCGAGUUUUCCGCGAGGAAGCAAACUGCUGAGUAACACGUGGGUAACCUAACUUAAGGCAGGGGAUAACCUCGAGAAAUUGAGGAUAAUCCCCUAUAGACUCUGGAUACUGGAAUGUUCCAAAGUCCAAAGCUUCGGCACCUUAAGAUGGGCCCGCGGCUGAUCAGGCUGUUGGCGGGGUAAUGGCCCACCAAACCUUUGACCAGUAAGGGCAGUGAAAGCUGGAGCCCUCAGUUGAGUACUGAGACACGGACUCAGGCCCUACGGGGCGCAGCAGGCGCGAAACCUCCGCAAUGCACGAAAGUGUGACGGGGGAACCCCAAGUGCUCUUGAUUUUUUUCAAGAGUUUUUUCCAAGUGUAAAUAGCUUGGCGAAUAAGAGCUGGGUAAGACGGGUGCCAGCAGCAGCGGUAAUACCCGCGGCUCGAGUCGUCUGGAUUUUUAUUGGGUCUAAAGCGUCGUAGCCGGGCUUUUAAGUUCCUUGUGAAAUCUAACAGCUCAACUGUUAGGCGUGCAGGGGAUACUAUUAGUCUUGAGGCCGGGAUGGGCCAAGGGUACUCCUGGGGUAGGGGUGAAAUACCAAAUCGCUUCGGCGAUAAGGUUUCAUAUUCCAAUAAUCCUAGGGGGACCACCGGUGGCGACAAAUUGCAAGUUUAACUUGCAGUUGCCAUUUAAGGCGCUUGGCUAAAACGGGUCUGACGGUGAGGGACGAAAGCCAGGGGAGCAAACGCGAGAAGUGAGUGAAAAUUGAAAUAUAUUUUCGAGCUUCGAGCGGCUCAAACGGGAUUAGAUACCCCGGUAGUCCUGGCCGUAAAUUAUGCAGACUAGGUGUUACGUGCCCUUCUUGAGUACGUGGUGCCGAAGGGAAGCCGUUAAGUCUGCCACCUGGGAAGUACGAUCGCAAGGUUGAAACUUAAAGGGAUUGACGGGGGAGCACAACAAGGGGUGGAGCCUGCGGUUUAAUUGGAUUCAACGCCGGAAAUCUCACUGGGGGCGACAGUAGUAUGAAGGCCAGGUUGAUGACCUUGCUAGACUUACUGAGAGGUGGUGCAUGGCCGCCGUCAGUUCGUGCCUUGAGGUGUUCGGUUAAGCCCGACAACGAACAAGACCCGCGCCCUUAGUUGCUAGUUAUUCCUCCGGGAAUGACGCACUCUAAGGGGACCGCUGUUGAUGAAACAGAGGAAGGUGCGGUCAACGGUAGGUCAGUAUGCCCCGAAUCCCCCAGGCUAUACGCGGGCUACAAUGGUUGAAACAAUGAGUUGCCACACCGAAAGGUGGAGCUAAUCCCUAAAUUCAACCUUAGUUCGGAUCGAGGAUUGUAACUCAUCCUCGUGAAGCCGGAAUCCCUAGUAAUCAGAGUUCACUAUACUCUGGUGAAUAUGUCCCUGCUCCUUGUACACACCGCCCGUCAAAUCACCUGAGUUGGGUCUGGAUGAGGCUUCGUCUUUUGGCGAGGUCGAAUCUGAGCUCAGCAAGGGGGGUU
Molecule: ribosomal RNA, 1508 nt
Filed under: uncultured archaeon
Lineage: Archaea
Description: 16S ribosomal RNA
Rfam family: Archaeal small subunit ribosomal RNA
Source: RNAcentral